GCAAGUCGAGCGGUAGCACAGAGAGCUUGCUCUCGGGUGACGAGCGGCGGACGGGUGAGUAAUGUCUGGGAAACUGCCUGAUGGAGGGGGAUAACUACUGGAAACGGUAGCUAAUACCGCAUAACGUCGCAAGACCAAAGUGGGGGACCUUCGGGCCUCAUGCCAUCAGAUGUGCCCAGAUGGGAUUAGCUAGUAGGUGGGGUAACGGCUCACCUAGGCGACGAUCCCUAGCUGGUCUGAGAGGAUGACCAGCCACACUGGAACUGAGACACGGUCCAGACUCCUACGGGAGGCAGCAGUGGGGAAUAUUGCACAAUGGGCGCAAGCCUGAUGCAGCCAUGCCGCGUGUGUGAAGAAGGCCUUCGGGUUGUAAAGCACUUUCAGCGGGGAGGAAGGCGGUGAGGUUAAUAACCUCAUCGAUUGACGUUACCCGCAGAAGAAGCACCGGCUAACUCCGUGCCAGCAGCCGCGGUAAUACGGAGGGUGCAAGCGUUAAUCGGAAUUACUGGGCGUAAAGCGCACGCAGGCGGUCUGUCAAGUCGGAUGUGAAAUCCCCGGGCUCAACCUGGGAACUGCAUUCGAAACUGGCAGGCUAGAGUCUUGUAGAGGGGGGUAGAAUUCCAGGUGUAGCGGUGAAAUGCGUAGAGAUCUGGAGGAAUACCGGUGGCGAAGGCGGCCCCCUGGACAAAGACUGACGCUCAGGUGCGAAAGCGUGGGGAGCAAACAGGAUUAGAUACCCUGGUAGUCCACGCUGUAAACGAUGUCGAUUUGGAGGUUGUGCCCUUGAGGCGUGGCUUCCGGAGCUAACGCGUUAAAUCGACCGCCUGGGGAGUACGGCCGCAAGGUUAAAACUCAAAUGAAUUGACGGGGGCCCGCACAAGCGGUGGAGCAUGUGGUUUAAUUCGAUGCAACGCGAAGAACCUUACCUGGUCUUGACAUCCACAGAACUUUCCAGAGAUGGAUUGGUGCCUUCGGGAACUGUGAGACAGGUGCUGCAUGGCUGUCGUCAGCUCGUGUUGUGAAAUGUUGGGUUAAGUCCCGCAACGAGCGCAACCCUUAUCCUUUGUUGCCAGCGGUUAGGCCGGGAACUCAAAGGAGACUGCCAGUGAUAAACUGGAGGAAGGUGGGGAUGACGUCAAGUCAUCAUGGCCCUUACGACCAGGGCUACACACGUGCUACAAUGGCAUAUACAAAGAGAAGCGACCUCGCGAGAGCAAGCGGACCUCAUAAAGUAUGUCGUAGUCCGGAUUGGAGUCUGCAACUCGACUCCAUGAAGUCGGAAUCGCUAGUAAUCGUAGAUCAGAAUGCUACGGUGAAUACGUUCCCGGGCCUUGUACACACCGCCCGUCACACCAUGGGAGUGGGUGCAAAAGAAGUAGGUAGCUUAACCUUCGGGAGG
Molecule: ribosomal RNA, 1399 nt
Filed under: Klebsiella variicola
Lineage: Bacteria; Pseudomonadati; Pseudomonadota; Gammaproteobacteria; Enterobacterales; Enterobacteriaceae
Description: bacterial SSU rRNA
Rfam family: Bacterial small subunit ribosomal RNA
Source: RNAcentral